UGCACCUGGUAUCUCCACGCAGUAGUAAUCUUCCUAUUGUGUUGGUCAUAAUGUAGUGCUAUAGGAAGUCAACUUGCAUCGUUGGUUUUCAAGCCACAUGUGUCUGUGAACCUGGUUUUUAUGUUGAUACACAU
This is a small nucleolar RNA of Leptobrachium leishanense (Leishan spiny toad), 134 nucleotides long. The record is from Ensembl. NCBI's taxonomy places the organism in Eukaryota, Metazoa, Chordata, Amphibia, Anura, Megophryidae.